AUUAACUCUAUUUUAUAUAUGAUAUACUUGAUACUUUCUUACAAUUUUAUUCACACAUUACCACUUUAUACUAUUCAUUACAACAAAUUAAAUAAUUUGGUAAAAAACAGCAAAACAUUGUAUUAAAUGGUAAAGAAGUUGGAUUCAUACUUGCUAGUUGCUACUUACAAACAAUUUUUAUGUUGAUGAGAGGUUGAGGUUCACUUGGUAUGGAUGAUAGGUUAGAAUUUCAUCUGGAUGACACAUUAUCAAUAUACUAAGUACAAAUAACAAUAAAUAGAAUGCCUAUAAAAAUGUGUAAAUUGUUAGCAUGAUUCAUGAAACAAUCAAUCUUCUCCAAUACUAACAUAUAUGAACAAAAUGAUCUCAAGUAUAAGCAUGUGUGUGUGUGCAUUUGGAUGUGUGUGUCGGUGCGGGUAUUCGUUAGAGAGAGAGAGAGUAUUGAGUGGGAGAGAGGGAAAAAAAUGAUGACGGACAAUAGGAGGAGAACUAGAUAGAAAAAACGCUCACCUUUCCGUUUAUGGGAGGAAAACUUGUUUAUGUUUUGUAUUUGAAGUUAUAAAAACAUUAUUUUACCAAACUUCUUAUUUGUGCAAUUUGAAUAUUCUUAAAUAGUUAUUAGCAUGUAAAUAUUCUGUAUUAUAUACUACAUAUAUGAAUGCAAAUAAUAUUUACAUGACUAAGCCAUUUUCUAGAUGGUGUUUUGUGAGUCUACAAACAACCAAUCUCUAAUUGCUGUACAACGUCUUUGGAAAGUCUUCUUUCUUGUAAUAUUUUGAAAGAUAAAAUCUAUGUCUAACUAGUAACUUUACAUCAAAAUAAAACAAUACAGAAGGCUUAAAUAUAAAUAUUAUUUGACCACCUGCAGUUGGGGUAUUUGGGCGUGGAUUGGGCCCAAAACGCCCCACAACGGUAGGCCAAUCGCCUCUAUGGGCAUUUUUCUUCGUGGUUUGGCUUGGGCGUGGCCCUAAAAACGCCAGGUUGAAAAAGUCUUGACCAAUCGGAACGUUGUGUAACGGCUCAUUAACGGCUAUAUUAUUAUUUUUUUUAUUUUUUUUCAAAUUCAAUAUCUAUAUGUAUACACACUCACAACUCAGAAUACCACAAAAAAUAUACACAACACCACACCAUUUUCUACAAAAGUGGAUUCUCCCACGUCUUCCUCAUCCGUUGCCAAUUAUUAUUACGAAGAGUUUAGCCGAUGCGGGCGAGUCGACCGACGAGGAGGUUGAGCAAGAGGCGGUUAUGAGUGGGUGUCAACUUGCGGCGAGGUAUAUGAAACACGUUAGUUGCCCUCCACGCCAAAAUUUUCCAAGAGAAUAUAUAGAACGAAACUGACUGUUGGCAAACGCUCGUUUGAUGAAAGAUUACCUUGACGAAGCACCGACUUACCCAAACCCAAACGUUUUUAGACGUCGUUUCCGGAUGAGUAAACGUUUAUUUGUAGGCAUUGCCGGAGACUAUUUCUACGCAUUGCCGGAGACUUGGAAAACAAGUUUGAUUACUUUAAGCAAAACCCAGAUGCGAGAGGGACGCUUGAAUUUAACGUUAUUCAAAAGUUGUACUUCAGCAUUACGCGUGCUUGCAUAGGGAAACACGAAGGACAUCAACGAUGAGUAUUUAAAGAUGGCUGAGAAAACAACGUGCAAUACCUUGGAGUAUUUUUGUCACGUUCGGUAUAUUCCAAACGAGGGUGGAGAAGAAGAGGAAGGCGAAGAUGAGGACGAAUGCCAAGAUGAAGACAAGUACGAAGAAAGUGAAAAUGAAAAUUAAGUCAAAUAUUAUUAUUUGUUUGUGUUUUAGUAUUUAUGUAAUUUUUAUUUAUUUAAUGAAAUAUUAUUUGUUUUAA
This is a long non-coding RNA of Helianthus annuus (common sunflower), 1849 nucleotides long. RefSeq lists it as uncharacterized. The transcript is spliced from 2 exons. The record is from RefSeq and is a predicted model, not a curated record. Lineage: Eukaryota; Viridiplantae; Streptophyta; Magnoliopsida; Asterales; Asteraceae.